UCUUCUCUCUCUCCUUUCUCCCGCAUUUUCUCUCUCUCCUCGGCGCUCUCUGCAACUCCGGCCACCUCACGAUUCCGGCCACCUGGGGACGAACGAGUGGCACCGUUGGACUCCUCUACUCCUACCCAACCUCCCCACGGCGGUAACUCACGGCGGCUUGGCCGGAAAACGAAGCAUCGGGUCCUUGAAGUUUCACUGUAGCAAAUUGGUCAACGCCGGUUUCUCCCGAUUCCGGCCACCUCCGGCGACGAACCAUAAUCAUUUGGAAGCGGCUUGCGAUGUAGAUGAUGCUCCCCAAAUAUUUUGCAGCGAUUUGAAGCGUGGAGGAAGAAUUGAAGGGCAAUGUUGCGAGCUACGGCUAGAUGACGGGACUCGUUUGCGUGGUCGUCAACUAGUACUUUUGCAGGGGUUAUUAGUUGAGGUCGGGCGUACGUGGUUCGAGGCAUAGUUGACGAAUAGCUUCCGCACUUCUACGUUUGGCUCUGAUAUAUUGUGAGUUAAUAGUUUUGGGUAGUUCACUUUAGGGGUGACUCGGCCAAUUCUCGGUAGAGUUAUCUCUAAGGUGGGCCCCACAGGGCCACCUCGGAUUUCAGGGUGAAAUCCGGGGCGGGUCCUGUCAACAUAGACCUAGACAAAACUAAAAAUCAGACUCUGAAGAUCACAUAAAGAAACAUCAUAUAAAAACUAAAAGUCAGACUCUGAAGAAAAUCAAAACUAAAAGUCGGACACUGCAGAAAAAGAAAUGAUUUUAUGCCAGAGCCGGAGACCUUGGCACAGAAGAUCUUUGUUAUUGUUUAUAUGUUUGCGUGGGUUCUAUACUUGUAUGCAUACUUGUCUACAAUAGCAAGUGGGAUGUGAAAGAGAAUAAGCAAAACUAUCAUCUCCUAUUUCUAGUAGCCUGGGUUUAGGGAAUGAGCGCCUGGUUCCUGAUUGAUUUCUACCUUAACAUGACAAAUGACACUGGUAUUCUUAUUCCUGAAGAUGUAAAAAAAAAAAAAAACAAACAAACCAAGCACAUUAAAAAAAUGGAGCUUCAGGAGAGGGACUUUGCGAACAUAAUGUACAAUCAAAGAUCAACAGUACCAUUGCAGUAAGUAGAUUUAUUACCAGGGAAAAAAAGGGAGGGCAAAUACAUGAAAAAUCCAGAAGGGGCAGCAUUGAUGCAACAACUAUCCAAAAAUUCCAGUACUGAGCCACGCUUCAGCCAGUAAACAGCAAGCCCCACAACAAACUUUAAUUGCAGCAUUCUACAGCCUAAGAUUCACUAUGUCAGGUUUCACUCUUUAAUCAACAGUCGAUAUAAAUUCCUAGUCUGAAUUGCAAAGAUUUUAUGCAAAAAGAGAUUACAUAUGGCAGAUCAGCUAAUGAUCAUCUUGCUGAGGAACUCAGCUUUCUCAGGAAAAUAUUCCAUCAAUUCAUCCUUGGUCAC
Molecule: long non-coding RNA, 1429 nt
Organism: Rosa rugosa (rugosa rose)
Lineage: Eukaryota; Viridiplantae; Streptophyta; Magnoliopsida; Rosales; Rosaceae
Exons: 3
Source: RefSeq, a predicted model, not a curated record